UGGGGAAUAUUGGACAAUGGGCGCAAGCCUGAUCCAGCCAUGCCGCGUGAGUGAUGAAGGCCCUAGGGUUGUAAAGCUCUUUCACCGGUGAAGAUAAUGACGGUAACCGGAGAAGAAGCCCCGGCUAACUUCGUGCCAGCAGCCGCGGUAAUACGAAGGGGGCUAGCGUUGUUCGGAUUUACUGGGCGUAAAGCGCACGUAGGCGGACUUUUAAGUCAGGGGUGAAAUCCCGGGGCUCAACCCCGGAACUGCCUUUGAUACUGGAAGUCUUGAGUAUGGUAGAGGUGAGUGGAAUUCCGAGUGUAGAGGUGAAACUCGUAGAUAUUCGGAGGAACACCAGUGGCGAAGGCGGCUCACUGGACCAUUACUGACGCUGAGGUGCGAAAGCGUGGGGAGCAAACAGG
This 404-nucleotide ribosomal RNA is filed under the name Pseudomonas sp. RNAcentral's name for it is "partial 16S ribosomal RNA". It matches the Rfam family "Bacterial small subunit ribosomal RNA", at positions 355 to 776 of the family's 1533-position model. RNAcentral also lists the same sequence under 4 other names. Lineage: Bacteria; Pseudomonadati; Pseudomonadota; Gammaproteobacteria; Pseudomonadales; Pseudomonadaceae. The record is from RNAcentral.